Molecule: small nucleolar RNA, 98 nt
Organism: Hucho hucho (huchen)
Lineage: Eukaryota; Metazoa; Chordata; Actinopteri; Salmoniformes; Salmonidae
Source: Ensembl
CUGCACUGAUGAGCUGAGAUGUGACUGACCUGGUAUUGCCACCCUCCGGGGACGGCUCUGACCAGAGCAUGACUUCAGUUAAUCUUCUCUCUGAGCAG